RNAcentral lists this ribosomal RNA (566 nucleotides) under uncultured bacterium. RNAcentral describes it as "partial 16S ribosomal RNA". It matches the Rfam family "Bacterial small subunit ribosomal RNA", at positions 355 to 912 of the family's 1533-position model. The record is from RNAcentral.
UGGGGAAUAUUGCACAAUGGGCGCAAGCCUGAUGCAGCCAUGCCGCGUGUGUGAAGAAGGCCUUCGGGUUGUAAAGCACUUUCAGCGAGGAGGAAGGUGGUGAGCUUAAUACGCUCAUCAAUUGACGUUACUCGCAGAAGAAGCACCGGCUAACUCCGUGCCAGCAGCCGCGGUAAUACGGAGGGUGCAAGCGUUAAUCGGAAUUACUGGGCGUAAAGCGCACGCAGGCGGUUUGUUAAGUCAGAUGUGAAAUCCCCGGGCUCAACCUGGGAACUGCAUUUGAAACUGGCAAGCUAGAGUCUCGUAGAGGGGGGUAGAAUUCCAGGUGUAGCGGUGAAAUGCGUAGAGAUCUGGAGGAAUACCGGUGGCGAAGGCGGCCCCCUGGACGAAGACUGACGCUCAGGUGCGAAAGCGUGGGGCAGCAAACAGGAUUAGAUACCCUGGUAGUCCACGCUGUAAACGAUGUCGAUUUGGAGGUUGUGCCCUUGAGGCGUGGCUUCCGGAGCUAACGCGUUAAAUCGACCGCCUGAGGAGUACGGCCGCAAGGUUAAAACUCAAAUGAAUUG